RNAcentral lists this transfer RNA (75 nucleotides) under Lentisphaerota bacterium. Its description in RNAcentral is "Lentisphaerae bacterium (feces metagenome) tRNA-Thr". It matches the Rfam family "tRNA". Rfam says of the family: Transfer RNA (tRNA) molecules are approximately 80 nucleotides in length. Their secondary structure includes four short double-helical elements and three loops (D, anti-codon, and T loops). RNAcentral also lists the same sequence under 2 other names. Lineage: Bacteria; Pseudomonadati; Lentisphaerota. The record is from RNAcentral.
GCCAGCUUAGCUCAGUGGUAGAGCUACGGUUUUGUAAACCGUCGGUCGUCGGUUCAAAUCCGACAGCUGGCUCCA